GACGAACGCUGGCGGCGUGCUUAAUACAUGCAAGUCGAACGGAAAGGCCCUGAUCUUGCUGCUUGCUCGUUAGCCGAGCAGGGGUGUAACACGUGAGUAUCCUCCCCUUGUCUUUGUGAUAUCAUCACGAAACUCCGGCGAAUAUCGCGUAUGAUCUCUUGCUGCACGGUGGGGGUUGGUAAGUGUCGGCGGUGGGGGAUGGUGUCGCGGGUUAUCAGCUUGUUUGUGGGGUAGUGGCUGACCAAGGCUUUGACGGGUAGCCGGCCUGGGAGGGUGACCGGGCACAUUGGGACUGCGAUACGGACCAGAAUCCAACGGGAGGCAGCGGUGGGGAAUAUUGCGCAAUGGGCCGAAGCCUGAUGCAGAAACGCCGGGUGCGGGAUGACGGCCUUCGGGUUGUAAACAGCUUUCGCCUGUGACGAAGCGUGAGUGACGGUAAUGGGUAAAAAAGCACCGGCUAACUACGUG
RNAcentral lists this ribosomal RNA (468 nucleotides) under uncultured bacterium. RNAcentral's name for it is "partial 16S ribosomal RNA". It matches the Rfam family "Bacterial small subunit ribosomal RNA", at positions 28 to 507 of the family's 1533-position model. The record is from RNAcentral.